Molecule: ribosomal RNA, 743 nt
Filed under: uncultured bacterium
Lineage: Bacteria
Description: bacterial SSU rRNA
Rfam family: Bacterial small subunit ribosomal RNA
Source: RNAcentral
CUUGCUUCUCUUGAGAGCGGCGGACGGGUGAGUAAUGCCUAGGAAUCUGCCUGGUAGUGGGGGAUAACGUUCGGAAACGGACGCUAAUACCGCAUACGUCCUACGGGAGAAAGCAGGGGACCUUCGGGCCUUGCGCUAUCAGAUGAGCCUAGGUCGGAUUAGCUAGUUGGUGGGGUAAUGGCUCACCAAGGCUACGAUCCGUAACUGGUCUGAGAGGAUGAUCAGUCACACUGGAACUGAGACACGGUCCAGACUCCUACGGGAGGCAGCAGUGGGGAAUAUUGGACAAUGGGCGAAAGCCUGAUCCAGCCAUGCCGCGUGUGUGAAGAAGGUCUUCGGAUUGUAAAGCACUUUAAGUUGGGAGGAAGGGUUGUAGAUUAAUACUCUGCAAUUUUGACGUUACCGACAGAAUAAGCACCGGCUAACUCUGUGCCAGCAGCCGCGGUAAUACAGAGGGUGCAAGCGUUAAUCGGAAUUACUGGGCGUAAAGCGCGCGUAGGUGGUUUGUUAAGUUGGAUGUGAAAUCCCCGGGCUCAACCUGGGAACUGCAUUCAAAACUGACUGACUAGAGUAUGGUAGAGGGUGGUGGAAUUUCCUGUGUAGCGGUGAAAUGCGUAGAUAUAGGAAGGAACACCAGUGGCGAAGGCGACCACCUGGACUAAUACUGACACUGAGGUGCGAAAGCGUGGGGAGCAAACAGGAUUAGAUACCCUGGUAGUCCACGCCGUAAACGAUGUCAACUA